Molecule: ribosomal RNA, 421 nt
Filed under: uncultured bacterium
Lineage: Bacteria
Description: bacterial SSU rRNA
Rfam family: Bacterial small subunit ribosomal RNA
Source: RNAcentral
UAAGGAAUAUUGGUCAAUGGACGCAAGUCUGAACCAGCCAUGCCGCGUGGAGGAUUAAGGCCCUCUGGGUUGUAAACUCCUUUUAUCUGGGAAGAAAUGUACUUUUUCUUGAGUACUUGACGGUACCAGAGGAAUAAGCACCGGCUAACUCCGUGCCAGCAGCCGCGGUAAUACGGAGGGUGCAAGCGUUAUCCGGACUCACUGGGUUUAAAGGGUGCGUAGGUGGGCAGGUAAGUCAGUGGUGAAAUCUCCGGGCUUAACCCGGAAACUGCCGUUGAUACUAUUUGUCUUGAAUAUUGUGGAGGUAAGCGGAAUAUGUCAUGUAGCGGUGAAAUGCUUAGAUAUGCCAUAGAACACCCAUUGCGAAGGCAGCUAACUACGGGUAUAUUGACGCUGAGGCACGAAAGCGUGGGGAUCAAAC